AAGACCUUACGCUUUUGGAGCGGCCGAUGUCUGAUUAGCUUGUUGGUAAGGUAAAAGCUUACCAAGGCUUCGAUCAGUAGCUGGUCUGAGAGGACGGCCAGCCACACUGGGACUGAGACACGGCCCAGACUCCUACGGGAGGCAGCAGUGGGGAAUUUUGGACAAUGGGGGCAACCCUGAUCCAGCCAUGCCGCGUGAGUGAAGAAGGCCUUCGGGUUGUAAAGCUCUUUCAGCCGGAACGAAACGGUUACGGUUAAUACCCGUGACUACUGACGGUACCGGAAGAAGAAGCACCGGCUAACUACGUGCCAGCAGCCGCGGUAAUACGUAGGGUGCAAGCGUUAAUCGGAAUUACUGGGCGUAAAGCGUGCGCAGGUGGUUUUGUAAGUCAGAUGUGAAAUCCCCGGGCUUAACCUGGGAACU
This 423-nucleotide ribosomal RNA is filed under the name uncultured bacterium. Its description in RNAcentral is "bacterial SSU rRNA". It matches the Rfam family "Bacterial small subunit ribosomal RNA", at positions 207 to 622 of the family's 1533-position model. The record is from RNAcentral.